GUAGGGUUCCCUACGGACCCGGUCCGUCCACCAUCUCCCAGGAUAUCUAGUUAGGCUGUCGACAUCAUCCAUUUAUCAAUUCACAUACCUUUUUUCCAUUUUUCUCGGUCUCAAUUUUUCAAUCAAACAUAAACACGUAAACCAAUAAUGAACACCAACCAAGACAACAACGGGUUCUCAAUAAUUCAAACCAUAAUAAACGAAACUAUGAUUCAUGCAUACGAAAUCAUAAAAUAAAUACAUCAGAUACCAUGUUGCAUUUUAAACUGUAAAAUAGAUCAAACAACAAC
RNAcentral lists this long non-coding RNA (290 nucleotides) under Carica papaya (papaya). RNAcentral describes it as "long non-coding RNA (CPAP_LNC009629)". The record is from RNAcentral. Lineage: Eukaryota; Viridiplantae; Streptophyta; Magnoliopsida; Brassicales; Caricaceae.